CCAGCCUGGAUUGGGGCUGGGUGGAAAUGAGAGUGUGGGGAUCGUACUGACGCUGAGCUGGUAGUUUGUGCGUUAAGUAUUGGAUACUUCCUUACCUUGUUAAUUGAGCCACUGGCACCACCUCCACGCCCCCAACCCAGUUCUUUGUCAGCCUUCCCAACAAUGACUUCUAAGACUUCUAACUGAAGAGUUAUUGGGCUCAGGACCCCACUCCCCCCACUUCCUCUCAUUCUAAUUGGUCAGAAGCCCUCCUCUGUGUUCUUAUUGGCCUGGGUUCAUGUCCAUUCUCACUGCUCUGGCAAAUGUCAUACAAGGUGUUAAGUAGUUUAAUUAUAAUCCCUGGAGCGACAUCUGCAACCACCAAUCAGGAAGCAAAGAUACCCGAGAACAGACUAAUCACAAAGCUGCAGCAAUCAUUAGGCAAUGGUGCUUAUUGAAUGUUUACAAUCAUAAUAUUAAAAACCCCGUGCGAUGAAGUGAGGCACAGAGAGGUCAUGUUUUUUGUCCCAUAAUUUAAAAAAGAGGAAAUGGCAGGACUUGAGUUUAAACCCAGGAAUUCUGGCCUCAAAGCUACGCUGUUGCUACUUUGUAGACAGACCUUGAAUACAGGAAAGAGGAAAUAAGAAAAUCUGGUAUAGGGCAACUUCAGGGUUGGAGGGUAAAAGACCCAGAAACUAGAAGUUUACCCAAGGAGAGAUGUUAAGGAUUAUCAACCUUCACUGACAGGAGCAAUUUGUUCCUGAGAGUGAGUUCCACCAUAAGAACCUCGUGCACGUGGUGCUCUCCCUGUUCUCCGCUGGAACAGAGACCUCCAGCACCACCCUCCGCUAUGGACUCUUAUUGCUUCUGAAGAACCCAGAUGUCCUGGAACACUACUGUGUAUCCUGUCAUGAGCACUGUCCUCCAUGACCCACGCCACUUUGAGAAGCCAGACACAUUCUACCCUGGACACUUCCUGGAAGCCAAGGGCAACUUUAGGAAAUGGGAAGCCUUUAUUCCUUUCUCCAUGGAUCUACUUCUCCAUCAGAGAGCAGUGCUCCAUCUGACCCCAGCUGAAUCUUCAAAAGUAUCUAUACAUUUGUGAGUGUUUAUUUUUCUUAUCCAUCUUCGCCCCUCACUAGAACCUGCUGGAUUGGCCAUGCUGGUCAUGGCAACACAGUUUAUUGUGCUCUGAAAGGCAACUCUCCAGGCUUCCUCGCUUCCCCAGGAAGCUGCAGUCAACGGGUUGCAGCCCAAACUGUGCCCAGCCCAAGGACAUAGGCAUAUGACCAUCAGUCAAUCAGAACAGUUACCAUUGGUGUGCUGGAACAGGAUCUUGGAGGCUUACUGGGUGGGCUGCUGACUAGGAAAGAGCCUUGGGACCUGGGCAAGGAGUCAUGGUGAACCAGACCAGUCAGUAGCUUUGAGUAGCCACUGUAUAUCAAUCCCUUUAGAAGUAGUUGGAUAGUCUAACAGCCAGUACAGAUCUACAGCCUACCCCACUGAAUGUCAGCCUAGGAGGGGACCUUGCAGGUCUCAGCUCACCUCUGCCUCCCUCUUGCUGCUUUCUAUAAGACACAUUAGAGAGGUUCUUCCAUGUUCUUCACAUUUUCUCAUAAAUUUGCUUAGUUGAUAAUAUACUUAAUCAGAGGCAUACAGAGAAAAGGAGUGUGAAAGAGGCAAAGACAAAGAUCAGGAGAUGCAGAGAUGGUACAGGAUAGCCAAGAUGAGAUGGAACAGAGAGACACUCAGGUUAUUUGUAUGGAGGACAAGAAUAUGAACAUAAGUGCUUCAUAUGUAAAUCUAUGCAAAUGCGCAUGCAAAUAUCCAGGGAGAAUGGGUGGGACAACCGGGUACUCUUCCAGAAUCCCCCAUAAUAACACAACCUCUCUUACACCCCCAGGAAAAUUCAUCUGUCUGGGAGAGAGCCUGGCCCGUUCUGAGCUCUUCCUAUUUUUUACCUCCAUGCUUCAGAGCUUCUCUUUGGGCUGUCCCAAGGCCCCAGAAGACAUUGAACUCAUGCCAAAAGGGAACUGGCUGGGAAAGUUGCCCCCUGUGUUCCAACUCUGCUUCCUGUCCUGCCACAGAGAGAAAGAAGGGAUGCAGAUUUCCUUAGAAUCCUUCCAUUCAGCCCCAUCUCCAAAAAAAGUGAGGCCUCUUGAGCUCCUUCUUGCUCCCUCUCUUCUGUGUAAAGUAAUUUCUGUAGUCUGUCCUCCAUCCAGCAUGCUAUAGUCUCCAUUUACUUCCAGAUGGCCUUCAAAGUUGACCAAGGGAAAAGGGUCAAGAAAUACCCUAAAUAACUUAAUGUCAUGACUCCUGUUUUUCUUCUGCUGCAAGAUUAACAAAGUCCUUGAUGGCUUUGCUUCUC
Non-coding RNA from Ictidomys tridecemlineatus (thirteen-lined ground squirrel), 2347 nucleotides. Lineage: Eukaryota; Metazoa; Chordata; Mammalia; Rodentia; Sciuridae. The record is from RefSeq and is a predicted model, not a curated record.